Molecule: long non-coding RNA, 643 nt
Filed under: Carica papaya (papaya)
Lineage: Eukaryota; Viridiplantae; Streptophyta; Magnoliopsida; Brassicales; Caricaceae
Description: long non-coding RNA (CPAP_LNC013370)
Source: RNAcentral
UUGUCUACUUGGGUAUGGAUGGAUAGUGAUGGCAACACAAAGCAAACUUGUAAAAAAGCACUCACUCUCCCUUUGUUUUUCUUCUUUCUUUCUUUCUUUCUUUUUUUCUUCUUUAAAAAUAAAUUUUUAAUUUUUUUUUCUCAAUUGAAUGUUUAAACAAGUUUUUGGGUAUGGAUAGAGAUAAUGGCCUAUGGUAGCGCACAUUUUUCUUCCUCCAUAUUCAUCUUCUUCUCGUCUCAUUCUCUUUCUUAAGUGUCCAUGAAUCCUUAUGUGUUACUUUCUUUUCCUGUUUCUUCGACUUGUGAAAUCCUGCUUCCUUAUUCUCUCUCUCAACUUCUAUUGGGCCAAACUUCAGCACCCACAUGCUUGAUUUUCUUCUUGUUUGAUUUCAGGAUUUAAGGACUUCCCCGACCUAGUUUUCUUCUCAGAUUCUUUCUUGGGUCUGUGAUUUGGUGACCCAAUUGGGAAUUGUUCAUCUUCUGGGUCUUAAUUGGUAGCUCCUGAGAGGUUAAAAUCAAUUUCUAUUUAGAAUUGGAAACCCAGAAUCUGGGGAUUCUUUGAUUCUUUUUUGUGGGGUGUGUGAAUUUUCUUAUCUUCCUCUCACUCUUACCUCCUCUCCUUGCAUACUGAACUUGCCGGAUAA